Molecule: long non-coding RNA, 1550 nt
Filed under: Bos taurus (domestic cattle)
Lineage: Eukaryota; Metazoa; Chordata; Mammalia; Artiodactyla; Bovidae
Description: long non-coding RNA NONBTAT013720
Source: RNAcentral
GCAUUGUGGUGGAAUGACUGACAAAUCACAAGUGGUUUAGUUGGGAGGGCUUUGAUCAUUCGAAAGUAACUAAACUAGCUCCAGAAUGCCAAGUAUUCGUGUAAAUUACGGUUACAUGUUCACUUUGCUCUUCUUGCAUAAGCACUCAUGAAAAUACGGUAUUCUGUCACUUGAAUUCCAUCCAUAUUCCAGACCUCUACUCAUGUCUGAGGUGAAUCAUAAAUUGUCUUAGUUUUAGGAUUCAAACUGUCUAACUUGUACUUGUGGUCCAUACAAGAAGCAAAUCCCUGUUUCCACUUUGCACACGGUGUUUCGUUUAAUCGAACUUUAUUUGCCUCACAGCCCCUUGUUUCCCUUACCAUUCAGUGAGAAUUCUUUUCCUUUCUUAAAGUCUAGUCUUGUUGUUUGACUGAACAGAGGUUAUCAACCAACACAUCCAGUCCCGACAUGAAGCUUUCAGUCCCAUGAUGUGUCUCAGUUCCCUGCUGUGGGAAGGAAUGCAAGUGCUGAAGAAAUGGUUGGAGGGCUGGCAGCUAGAGUUGCAGGGAAAGCUCCUUCUUCCUGUGAGCCUGUGAGCUUUUACUUCCUCAACACAAAGACAGCUUGAGUAAACUCUUUUUUAAAAAGAUUCUUUUCACUCUUUUUUUUUUUUUAGAUGCCUUGCAAAAAUAAAAAUCGUGUAAAAGACCACUAAUAUGAACCCACCCCUCCUCAUUUAAAAAAAAAUGUUCUGUUUUGCUUUGUUUGGAUUUAGGAUCUCUCUUCUGUCUGACUCUUACAUUCAUAUUCGCAGAGUUGGUAGACUUGAGAGUCAUUUCAAGCAUGGGAACUUGAUGUCACCUUCCUUUAUUCGACCUGGGAGGGCAGCAGAGUAGUGAUGAAACUCCGCAUUUUGGUGUGAAAAACCUGGUUUGCUUAAGAAUAGAAGUAACUUCUGUGUAUGGAGGCAACGAGUUAAAAGAAAAAUUAACAGCUUGAUUUGAGUAGCCAACAGGAAAGGCUCCUUUCACGUUUACAUUAAAACUAUUCUGUAGUCACUGAUGUACCAUCAUUUAAAUUCUGUUCUCAAAGGUGUAGAUGAUAAAGCAGUGCCAUUCGUUGCUGUGGCCUAUUCGCAAAUGCACGGACAAUGUUCCCCCUCUUUUUAAAAAUACUGCUUGUAUCUGGGAUGCAAGCUAUACUUAACCUUUUUAAAUACAUUUUUAAAGUAUUUAUUAAUGAACCAAAGGAAAUCAGAUGCUUUCUGUAAGCAUCAGAAUAUAGAAUACAUAGUGAUUUGACUAUGAAUUUUAAAUCCACAUUUUAAUAUUAGUGGGGUAUUGCAAAGACAUUCCUUCUAAAGUUUUAAUAUUCCUUUUAUUAAGGGUCUCAGGGAGGGUAAAUUAGUCAGCCAUAUUUAUUUUCCAGAGAUGUAAGGAAUUGCUAAGCAGCUACUCAGAGGCUGCUAAUUCAUUGCCAAUGUCUCGGUUUUUCAGUUCUGCCUCCGUGAUAAAUUUAAGGAUAAAGAAUAGGGAGGGGUGAAGGAAGGGAGGGCUGCUUUAGAACAGGUG